Molecule: ribosomal RNA, 471 nt
Filed under: uncultured organism
Description: partial 16S ribosomal RNA
Rfam family: Bacterial small subunit ribosomal RNA
Source: RNAcentral
ACACUCCUACGGGAGGCAGCAGUGGGGAAUUUUGGACAAUGGGCGAAAGCCUGAUCCAGCAAUGCCGCGUGAGUGAAGAAGGCCUUCGGGUUGUAAAGCUCUUUUGUCAGGGAAGAAACGGUGAGAGCUAAUAUCUCUUGCUAAUGACGGUACCUGAAGAAUAAGCACCGGCUAACUACGUGCCAGCAGCCGCGGUAAUACGUAGGGUGCAAGCGUUAAUCGGAAUUACUGGGCGUAAAGCGUGCGCAGGCGGUUUUGUAAGUCUGAUGUGAAAUCCCCGGGCUCAACCUGGGAAUUGCAUUGGAGACUGCAAGGCUAGAAUCUGGCAGAGGGGGGUAGAAUUCCACGUGUAGCAGUGAAAUGCGUAGAUAUGUGGAGGAACACCGAUGGCGAAGGCAGCCCCCUGGGUCAAGAUUGACGCUCAUGCACGAAAGCGUGGGGAGCAAACAGGAUUAGAAACCCUUGUAGUCC